RNAcentral lists this ribosomal RNA (391 nucleotides) under uncultured bacterium. RNAcentral describes it as "bacterial SSU rRNA". It matches the Rfam family "Bacterial small subunit ribosomal RNA", at positions 491 to 884 of the family's 1533-position model. The record is from RNAcentral.
CAUCGGCUAACUCCGUGCCAGCAGCCGCGGUAAUACGGAGGAUCCGAGCGUUAUCCGGAUUUAUUGGGUUUAAAGGGAGCGUAGGCGGCACGCCAAGUCAGCGGUGAAAGUUCGCGGCUCAACCCGGAGAGUGCAGUUGAUACUGGGGGUCUAGAGUACACUAGAGGCAGGCGGAAUUCGUGGUGUAGCGGUGAAAUGCAUAGAUAUCACGCAGAACUCCGAUUGCGAAGGCAGCCUGCUGGGGUGUAACAGACGCUGAGGCUCGAAAGCGUGGGUAUCGAACAGGAUUAGAUACCCUGGUAGUCCACACAGUAAACGAUGAAUACUCGCUGUUUGCGAUACAAAGUAAGCGGCCCAGCGAAAGCGUUAAGUAUUCCACCUGGGGAGUACG